This 480-nucleotide ribosomal RNA is filed under the name uncultured bacterium. RNAcentral's name for it is "partial 16S ribosomal RNA". It matches the Rfam family "Bacterial small subunit ribosomal RNA", at positions 28 to 523 of the family's 1533-position model. The record is from RNAcentral.
GACGAACGCUGGCGGCGUGCUUAACACAUGCAAGUCGAACGAUGAAGUUCCUUCGGGAAUGGAUUAGUGGCGAGCGGGUGAGAAACACGUGAGAAACCUGCCUUUCAUUUUGGGAUAACUUCGGGAAACCGGAGCUAACACCGAAUACUCCGUCUUGGCGGCAUCGCUGAGCCGGGAAAAAAUUUUGAUGAAAGAUGGUCUCGCGGCCUAUCAGCUAGUUGGUGAGGUAAUGGCUCACCCAGGCGACGACGGGUAGCCGGCCUGAGAGGGCGACCGGCCACACUGGGACCGAGACACGGCCCAGACUCCUACGGGAGGCAGCAGUGGGGAAUAUUGGGCAAUGGGCGCAAGCCUGACCCAGCGACGCCGCGUGAGGGAUGAAGGCCUUCGGGUUGUAAACCUCUUUCAGUAGGGAAGAAGCGAAAGUGACGGUACCUAAAGAAGAAGCACCGGCUAACUAUGUGCCAGCCGCCGCAGUAA